GGGAUAUGGCGAAAUUGGUAGAC
Molecule: transfer RNA, 23 nt
Filed under: Agave lechuguilla
Lineage: Eukaryota; Viridiplantae; Streptophyta; Magnoliopsida; Asparagales; Asparagaceae
Also listed under: 5 other names
Description: Agave lecheguilla partial tRNA-Leu
Source: RNAcentral